GGGGUCAUAGUAUAAGCUGGCUAGUAUAGGAGGCUCCAAACCUUCGGAUCAGGGUUCAAAUCCCUGUGACCCCA
RNAcentral lists this transfer RNA (74 nucleotides) under archaeon. RNAcentral's name for it is "tRNA-Trp". It matches the Rfam family "tRNA". Rfam says of the family: Transfer RNA (tRNA) molecules are approximately 80 nucleotides in length. The record is from RNAcentral.